UCAAGAUAAGAUUUCCCACCGCAAGGGUAAGACACCAGAAAGACUAUCUGGUUGAUAGGUCGAAGGUGUAAGUGCAGCAAUGUAUUUAGCUUAUCGAUACUAAUAGGUCGAGGACUUGACCAAUAUU
RNAcentral lists this ribosomal RNA (127 nucleotides) under Clostridioides difficile. Its description in RNAcentral is "partial 23S ribosomal RNA". It matches the Rfam family "Bacterial large subunit ribosomal RNA", at positions 2799 to 2925 of the family's 2925-position model. The record is from RNAcentral. Lineage: Bacteria; Bacillati; Bacillota; Clostridia; Peptostreptococcales; Peptostreptococcaceae.